RNAcentral lists this ribosomal RNA (465 nucleotides) under uncultured bacterium. RNAcentral's name for it is "partial 16S ribosomal RNA". It matches the Rfam family "Bacterial small subunit ribosomal RNA", at positions 28 to 507 of the family's 1533-position model. The record is from RNAcentral.
GAUGAACGCUGGCGGCGUGCUUAACACAUGCAAGUCGAACGGAAAGGCUCCUGCUUGCAGGGGUACUCGAGUGGCGAACGGGUGAGUAACACGUGGGUGAUCUGCCCUGCACUUCGGGAUAAGCCUGGGAAACUGGGUCUAAUACCGGAUAGGACGAUGGUUUGGAUGCCAUUGUGGAAAGUUUUUCGGUGUGGGAUGAGCUCGCGGCCUAUCAGCUUGUUGGUGGGGUAAUGGCCUACCAAGGCGUCGACGGGUAGCCGGCCUGAGAGGGUGGACGGCCACAUUGGGACUGAGAUACGGCCCAGACUCCUACGGGAGGCAGCAGUGGGGAAUAUUGCACAAUGGGCGCAAGCCUGAUGCAGCGACGCCGCGUGGGGGAUGACGGCCUUCGGGUUGUAAACUCCUUUCGCUAGGGACGAAGCGCAAGUGACGGUACCUGGAGAAGAAGCACUGGCUAACUACGUG